This 408-nucleotide ribosomal RNA is filed under the name Acanthamoeba sp. CHI3405. RNAcentral describes it as "SSU rRNA". It matches the Rfam family "Eukaryotic small subunit ribosomal RNA", at positions 785 to 1095 of the family's 1831-position model. The record is from RNAcentral. Lineage: Eukaryota; Discosea; Longamoebia; Acanthamoebidae.
UUUUCUGCCACCGAAUACAUUAGCAUGGGAUAAUGGAAUAGGACCCUGUCCUCCUAUUUUCAGUUGGUUUUGGCAGCGCGAGGACUAGGGUAAUGAUUAAUAGGGAUAGUUGGGGGCAUUAAUAUUUAAUUGUCAGAGGUGAAAUUCUUGGAUUUAUGAAAGAUUAACUUCUGCGAAAGCAUCUGCCAAGGAUGUUUUCAUUAAUCAAGAACGAAAGUUAGGGGAUCGAAGACGAUCAGAUACCGUCGUAGUCUUAACCAUAAACGAUGCCGACCAGCGAUUAGGAGACGUUGAAUACAAAACACCACCAUCGGUGCGGUCGUCCUUGGCGCGUCGCGGCUUGCCGCGGCGUGCGAGGGCGGUUUAGCCUGAUGGCAUCGGUGAAUGACUCCCCUACAGCUUGUGAGA